CCACAGGCUCCCUCUGGAGCCACAAAAGGCUUUAUAAAACUUUUUUU
Molecule: non-coding RNA, 47 nt
Organism: Larimichthys crocea (large yellow croaker)
Lineage: Eukaryota; Metazoa; Chordata; Actinopteri; Sciaenidae
Source: Rfam